GGCCCGUUGGUCAAGCGGUUAAGACACCGCCCUUUCACGGCGGUAACACGGGUUCGAAUCCCGUACGGGUCGCCC
Molecule: transfer RNA, 75 nt
Filed under: Bacillus sp. Root147
Lineage: Bacteria; Bacillati; Bacillota; Bacilli; Caryophanales; Bacillaceae
Description: tRNA-Glu
Rfam family: tRNA
About the family: Transfer RNA (tRNA) molecules are approximately 80 nucleotides in length. Their secondary structure includes four short double-helical elements and three loops (D, anti-codon, and T loops).
Source: RNAcentral